UGGGGAAUUUUGGACAAUGGGGGAAACCCUGAUCCAGCCAUCCCGCGUGUGCGAUGAAGGCCUUCGGGUUGUAAAGCACUUUUGGCAGGAAAGAAACGUCGCGGGUUAAUACCCCGCGAAACUGACGGUACCUGCAGAAUAAGCACCGGCUAACUACGUGCCAGCAGCCGCGGUAAUACGUAGGAUGCAAGCGUUAAUCGGAAUUACUGGGCGUAAAGCGUGCGCAGGCGGUUCGGAAAGAAAGAUGUGAAAUCCCAGAGCUUAACUUUGGAACUGCAUUUUUAACUACCGGGCUAGAGUGUGUCAGAGGGAGGUGGAAUUCCGCGUGUAGCGGUGAAAUGCGUAGAUAUGCGGAGGAACACCGAUGGCGAAGGCAGCCUCCUGGGAUAACACUGACGCUCAUGCACGAAAGCGUGGGGAGCAAACAGGAUUAGAUACCCUGGUAGUCCACGCCCUAAACGAUGUCAACUAGCUGUUGGGGCCUUCGGGCCUUGGUAGCGCAGCUAACGCGUGAAGUUGACCGCCUGGGGAGUACGGUCGCAAGGUUAAAACUCAAAUGAAUUGACGGGGUCAUAGCUG
RNAcentral lists this ribosomal RNA (579 nucleotides) under uncultured bacterium. RNAcentral's name for it is "partial 16S ribosomal RNA". It matches the Rfam family "Bacterial small subunit ribosomal RNA", at positions 355 to 932 of the family's 1533-position model. The record is from RNAcentral.